Molecule: ribosomal RNA, 951 nt
Filed under: Triticum aestivum (bread wheat)
Lineage: Eukaryota; Viridiplantae; Streptophyta; Magnoliopsida; Poales; Poaceae
Description: partial small subunit ribosomal RNA
Source: RNAcentral
AUGAAGAAGAGCAGUAAUCUCGAGGCCUUCCUCCGCGCCGCCACGCCCCUGCUCCCAUGGCGCUCCGCCACCAUGGAACGUUUCCAGGGCGCGCCGAGCAGCGUGUGGCAGCAGCCGGACGGCAAGAGCAAGGACGCGGUGGAGUACUUCGCGCUGUCCGACCUCUGGGAGCACUACGCCGAGAGCAGCGCCUACGGCCUCGCCGUGCCCGUCCGCGACGCCGGUGACCGCGCCGUGGUCACCACGCAGCACUUCGUCCCCUACCUCUCCGCCGUCCAGCUCUACACCGCCACAAAGCCCACCACUCACACCCUCGGCGCCACCUCCAGGAGCACGGGCAGCGAGACGGAUUCAUGGAGCGACGACAGCGUGGGCGACCGGUUCGCCGGCUCAGGGUCCUCCUCGUGGGACGCGGCGUCGGACGAAGACGAUUCUUCCUCCACCUACGACGGCAACGGCUCUACCGGCGUGUCAGCGAAGCAGGGCGGGUACCUGAACUUUCAGUACAGGGAGUGGGACUCGCCCUACGAGAGGGUGCCGCUGGCUCACAAGGUGGCGGAGCUGGCUCAGGAUUACCCAUGCCUGACGUCGCUCAGCAGCGCGGAGCUCUCGCCGUCGAGCUGGAUGUCCGUGGCAUGGUACCCAAUCUAUCACAUCCCUGCUCAUGUCAACCUGAAGGGUACCUCUGCCUGCUUCCUCACCUACCAUUCCAUCUCAUCGGUCUUCCAAGACACCAUACAUAGCGGACCGGCGCACGAUGAUGGUGAGAUCGCGGCGCUCUCGCCGUUCGGGCUGGCAACAUACAGGAUGCAAGGCGACCUAUGGAAGAGACCAGGGUCAUCAGACCAUAGGAGGCUGUCUGAGCUUCACUGGGCGGCGGCCUCCUGGUUGAAGCAAGUCGGUGCACACCACCCCGACUUCACCUUCUUCACAUCUUCACACCGUCGAUAA